UGGUAAAGGGUGGGCUGAAUUUAAAAGUUCACCCUAGAGGGUCAACCUAAUUUCUGUACAUUUUGAAUUGUAAUCCGAGCUUUUUUUCCAUUCUCGGGUUUAUUAAUAAUAUUUAAAUUUUUUCUAAAAAAGAAGAAAAGAAAAAGCAUUCCAUGAAAAAUAUUUUCAAGUGAAUCCGUAAAGGUAAUUACUUUCUAAACAGGCCCAGAUUUCUAAUGGCCUAACUAUAACUAAAAACCCGCAGCUCUAAAAGGCAACCCUAUUUAUCUGUUGACCUCUCAUAAGCCGAAUUAACGUAUCUAACUUCCAUCAAUCCUUGAAAACAAACCAUGACUCCCUACAACUUCGUCGAUUUAGCAGAUGCUCCGACAGCCGUGUUUUGGGUCACUAAUUGUUGCCCAGUCCCUGCUGACUUACAUUUUAUUCAUGUACUGCGCAACAUUAAACGAUGCCUAUAUGAAAGUUCCUAUAAUGGUAGGGUUAAAUUCAUGGUUUAUGAUAGCACAAGUCCUUCCCUUAUCAAUGAAAAUCCCCCCGUAGAGAAUCUGGUGAUCACUCGCUUCCCGGAAGAUCGCCGUCUCUCCGAUAUCAAACAGCGACAGACCAAAAAAAGAAAAGAGACAAAACAAGGAACAAUACAACAAGCUGUAAAGCUAAAGAUUUGCAAAAGCUAAAGAGUAGGGUGGGAAAGAAAGUUCCGGAGGCACUAGUCCUCCUACUCCGACGAACAUGAGUAUCUCCUCCGAAUUGGACCGCAUCGUUGACUUCACCGGGUUUGGCAUGUCCGAAACCAACCCACGGAUCCGUCGCCGAUGAAGCUUCUAAGGCUGAGCCACUCCCGGAGGAACCCCGCGGCCACAACACCAGAUCCAAAGACCUAGCCUCAAAACUCAACCUUCGCUCCUCUCGUUGACGCCUCGCCGCCUCCAUACCUCAGUCAAUCGCGCUCCUCGCCGCCUUCAUUUUCAAACCUUGUUAUUUGAUAUAUGUAGGAGGUGAUCCAUUUGAGAAGUUUAAGAAGAUUUUUGUCGAUAUCAUGGAAUGGUCGAUUGAUAAUCCUACUCCUGCCAAUAUUCUUUACAUCUCAGGAGACAUGAAUACUUAUAUGACCCGUCUCAUCAACCAAUUAGGUGUGGUCUGCUACAACACGCUCUUAUGCGUACGAGAAAGCCUUACUGCCUUUCCUACUACCGGAGGACGUCCAUUCAUCACCAGAGAUUUUUCAUUCGUCAGCAGCGUGUGGUCCUGGUUUGAGCUAUCUCAUGGAAGACCGCCUUUCUUCAACCGGUUUUCUGAUAAGCCGAGUGUUCCCCUUGGCCUUCUUAAAGAAGAAGAAAAGGUCACCAAGGCAAAGGAAGGUGCUCGUGGAUCCUGUUAAAAGUGAAGACUGCCUUUCUUCAACCUGUUUUCUAAUAGGCUGAGAGUUUCCUUGGUCACCAACGCAAAGAAUGGUACUCGUGGAUCAUGUUAAAAGUGGCUAAAGGAAGAUCUAUAGAAGAAAAAGCAAAUACUCUGGCUUGAGAGAGAAGAUUACUAAAUAAGUUGGUGUUGUAAAACAUUGUCUUUUACUUAUCUGAACUUUAUGCCUUGGUUUGUAUUUAAAACCUAUCCAUACAUUGGAUAAGGUAUCAAAACAUAUAAUUAAAACAAUGUUAAUAUCA
RNA transcript from Brassica napus (rape), 1661 nucleotides. RefSeq lists it as uncharacterized. The record is from RefSeq and is a predicted model, not a curated record. NCBI's taxonomy places the organism in Eukaryota, Viridiplantae, Streptophyta, Magnoliopsida, Brassicales, Brassicaceae. The transcript has 3 exons.